This is a long non-coding RNA of Cyprinus carpio carpio, 1473 nucleotides long. NCBI's taxonomy places the organism in Eukaryota, Metazoa, Chordata, Actinopteri, Cypriniformes, Cyprinidae. The record is from Ensembl.
AUGGGGUACACAUGCUUUAAAUGUGAAUUACUCAUACAAGGCGACUUAAAAAGCCUUUUCACCCAUCUGAGGGCGGUACAUAGCGUAACAUCAGCAUGUACACAUUUUAAGUGUGUUGAGCAGGGAUGCAGAAGGACAUUUUAUUAUAUGAGGUCAUACAAACGACAUCUUUUGAAGCAUGAGCUGUGUAGUAACAAAUAUGGGCCUAGUGCUCCUAUAAUUGAACAGCUCAGAACUCCAGCAGAGCAUGCUGUUUUGGACGCAGAUGAAGAUGGUCCAGAUGAUAAUUGGGAUGACCUUGGCCCUGAAGGGGUCAUGAACAGGGUUGCCACAUUCUUGGCCUGUUUGAGGUCCAGGUCAUCUCAGACGUUUAGUUCUGUCAAUUAUGUGGUUCAGGAAACCUCAUCUUUGAUUCAUGACAUUGUGACAGAUCUGAAAAACAAAACUAUGUCUGUUUUUCAGAGAUUAGGACAGGAAGAUCUUCCAGAGGUAAAAGUCCUCAGAGAGGAAUUUAAUAUUGCCUCUGAACCAUUUAAAGAUCUUGAAUCUCAUGUCAAGCAAAUGAAAUACUUCACUCAGUCAGGCAACUUUAUUCUGCCAGUUGAAGAAGUGUUUCCUGGAGUGUCGUAUAUGUCACAAAGAGCAUCAGACACAGGCAUAGUUAGACAGGUUGCAGUGCAGGACACAUUUCAAAGAGUGCCACUCAGGCCCCUUUUGCGGAAAAUUCUCGAAUGCCCUGGUGUACUUCAGGCAGCACUCCAGUGGCAACAAAAGAACAAUACAGAUGUCCUUCAGGAUUUUUGUGAUGGCAAGAUUUGGCAUGCACAUGCUCUUUUUUCUAAAGAGUUUACUAUUCCCUUGGUUCUGUACAAUGAUGACUGUGAGACAGUGAACCCUUUAGGAUCCAAAACUGUCAUGCACAAACUUGGCUUCAUUUACUUCACUAUCAAAAGCUUGCCUCCAGAGUUGCUGUCAAGUUUGAAUUCACAUUUUCUGUUGGCAGUGUAUAAAACCGAUGAUGCCAAGACUUAUGGUCUUAAUGCAGUCCUGAAGUCCAUCAUUGACGAGCUAAAGUCUCUAGAACUGGAAGGCAUCUCCAUUGAUAUGCCUCAUUUUCAAGGUACAGUAAAGUUUGCAGUUGCUCAGUUGUGUGGAGACAACUUGGGAUUGAAUGGCAUUCUUGGCUAUACACAGAGCUUUUCAGGCAAUUAUGUAUGCAGGUGGUGCAAGGUGCACAGAGAUGUGUUACGGGUACAGACAAGUGAAGAUCAGUCUCUACUUCGUGACACAGACAAUUACCAAGCUGAUCUCCAUGAAAAUAAUCCAUCAGGUACAGGUGUGAGAGAGGAAAGCGUUCUAAAUGACUUGCACUUCUUUCAUGUGACUGAUAAUGUUGCGCCUGACAUCAUGCACGACAUUUUGGAAGGAGUAGGGUCUGUUGAGGUUAAGCUUAUUUUUAAAUUCUCUAAUUGA